GUGCCAGCCGCCGCGGUAAUACGAAGGGACCUAGCGUAGUUCGGAAUUACUGGGCUUAAAGAGUUCGUAGGUGGUUAAAAUAGUUGGUGGUGAAAUCCCAGAGCUUAACUCUGGAACUGCCAUCAAAACUUUUUAGCUAGAGUAUGAUAGAGGAAAGCAGAAUUUCUAGUGUAGAGGUGAAAUUCGUAGAUAUUAGAAAGAAAACCAAUUGCGAAGGCAGCUUUCUGGAUCAUUACUGACACUGAGGAACGAAAGCAUGGGUAGCGAAGAGGAUUAGAUACCCUCGUAGUCCAUGCCGUAAACGAUGUGUGUUAGACGUUGGAAAUUUAUUUUUCAGUGUCGCAGCGAAAGCGAUAAACACACCGCCUGGGGAGUACGACCGCAAGGUUAAAACUCAAAUGAAUUGACGGGGACCCGCACAAGUAGUGGAGCAUGUGGUUUAAUUCGAAGAUACGCGCAGAACCUUACCAACACUUGACAUGUUCGUCGCGACUCUAAGAGAUUAGAGUUUUCGGUUCGGCCGGACGAAACACAGGUGCUGCAUGGCUGUCGUCAGCUCGUGUCGUGAGAUGUUGGGUUAAGUCCCGCAACGAGCGCAACCCUCACUUUUAGUUGCCAUCAUUAAGUUGGGCACUCUAAAGGAACUGCCAGUGAUAAGCUGGAGGAAGGUGGGGAUGACGUCAAGUCCUCAUGGCCCUUACGUGUUGGGCUACACACGUGCUACAAUGGCAUUUACAAUAGGAAGCAAAAUGGCGACAUCAAGCAAAUCCUAAAAAAAUGCCUCAGUUCGGAUUGUACUCUGCAACUCGAGUACAUGAAGCUGGAAUUACUAGUAAUCGCGGAUCAGCGCGCCGCGGUGAAUACGUUCCCGGGUCUUGUACACACCGCCCGUC
RNAcentral lists this ribosomal RNA (893 nucleotides) under uncultured bacterium. Its description in RNAcentral is "bacterial SSU rRNA". It matches the Rfam family "Bacterial small subunit ribosomal RNA", at positions 505 to 1398 of the family's 1533-position model. The record is from RNAcentral.